This 433-nucleotide ribosomal RNA is filed under the name uncultured bacterium. Its description in RNAcentral is "partial 16S ribosomal RNA". It matches the Rfam family "Bacterial small subunit ribosomal RNA", at positions 29 to 507 of the family's 1533-position model. The record is from RNAcentral.
AACGAACGCUGGCGGCAGGCUUAACACAUGCAAGUCGAACGCACCUUUCGGGGUGAGUGGCAGACGGGUGAGUAACGCGUGGGAAUCUACCCUUCUCUACGGGAUAGCUCCGGGAAACUGGAAUUAAUACCGUAUACGGCCUGAGGGAGAAAGAUUUAUCGGGGAAGGAUGAGCCCGCGUUGGAUUAGCUAGUUGGUGGGGUAAAGGCCUACCAAGGCGACGAUCCAUAGCUGGUCUAAGAGGAUGAUCAGCCACAUUGGGACUGAGACACGGCCCAAACUCCUACGGGAGGCAGCAGUGGGGAAUAUUGGACAAUGGGCGCAAGCCUGAUCCAGCCAUGCCGCGUGAGUGAUGAAGGCCCUAGGGUUGUAAAGCUCUUUCAGUGGGGACGAUAAUGACGGUACCCACAGAAGAAGCCCCGGCUAACUUCGUG